RNAcentral lists this ribosomal RNA (808 nucleotides) under uncultured cyanobacterium. RNAcentral describes it as "bacterial SSU rRNA". It matches the Rfam family "Bacterial small subunit ribosomal RNA", at positions 63 to 913 of the family's 1533-position model. Lineage: Bacteria; Bacillati; Cyanobacteriota. The record is from RNAcentral.
CGAACGAAAGCGUAAGCUUUAGUGGCGAACGGGUGAGUAACACGUAAGAAUCUACCUCUAGGAGGGAAAUAACAAUUGGAAACGAUUGCUAAUGUCCCAUAUGCUGAAAAGUGAAAUGAUCUUUCGCCUAGAGAUGAGCUUGCGCCUGAUUAGCUAGUUGGUAAGGUAAAGGCUUACCAAGGCCACGAUCAGUAGCUGGUUUGAGAGGAUGAUCAGCCACACUGGAACUGAGACACGGUCCAGACUUCUACGGAAGGCAGCAGUGGGGAAUUUUCCGCAAUGGGCGAAAGCCUGACGGAGCAAUACCGCGUGAAGGAUGAAUGCCUGUGGGUUGUAAACUUCUUUUAUUAGGGAAGAAUUAAAUGACGGUACCUAAUGAAUAAGCAUCGGCUAACUCCGUGCCAGCAGCCGCGGUAAUACGGGGGAUGCAAGCGUUAUCCGGAAUUAUUGGGCGUAAAGAGUCUGUAGGUUGUUUAGAAAGUCCACUGUUAAAUAUUAGAGCUCAACUCUAAACAAGCACUGGAAACUACUAGACUAGAGUAUGGUAGGGGCAAAGGGAAUUCCCAGUGUAGCGGUGAAAUGCGUAGAUAUUGGGAAGAACACCAGAAGCGAAAGCGCUUUGCUGGGCCAUCACUGACACUCAGAGACGAAAGCUAGGGGAGCGAAUGGGAUUAGAUACCCCAGUAGUCCUAGCCGUAAACGAUGGAUACUAGAUGUUGCGCGUAUCGAUCCGUGCAGUAUCGUAGCUAACGCGUUAAGUAUCCCGCCUGGGAAGUAUGCUCGCAAGAGUGAAACUCAAAGGAAUUGA